AUCGCAAGUUCCUCCGCUCACAGAUCGUGAACCUCACUGGCGCUCGCUUGGUUUCAGUGCCUGAAGCUAGCACAUCAGUGUUGUCUGAGUCCAGGUCACGGAGGAGGCGGCAUAAGUGCUCGUCCAGCUCAUAUGUCAGUGAUGAUAGCAUCACUGAUGAAUCUUCAUCUGAAGAGUCCAGCAGAAUCAGAAAAAAGAGAUGCCACAAGAAGAAAGCGAAGAGAGGGUGUGUUCCCCAUUGUGACUAGGUUGUGAUCAGCCUUUAUCAAAAAGAAGAGCAUGAGUAGGACUUUCUGCCCAAGUGCGUCAAUAAGGUUUACAGGGCCCGGGAGAGUUUUUUGAUGAACGAGCCUCCAUAUGCCCAGGAGGACAGUAGGCUAUUUGAACCUUCCCUGACAACGUCUCCAACACUGCCCUCAUCGCAGAAUUGCACCAGAUUGCUAACAAAUCUGUUUGGGUCUGAUCAGGACUUGUGAGGAAACAUUCAUCCACUAUGACCAGCAGUGUGUCCUCUCUCCAGAGCAGAGCAGUUCAGGUUGUAAUUCAGUAUCCCAGAAAAGACAUACUGUAACAUCUGAGUCUUGCUUAAGUGGGUUUUUGAUUUCUGAGUACAUAUGUGUGAGAUCAUCUUGUUGCUUUUAACAGUUUGCCAAAUGUAAAUUUACGUUCUUGUACUGAUGUAAACAAUGAUUUUCAUAUAAAAACUGCUAUUGAAAACUAUUAAUAAAACCCUAACACCUUGACAAA
Long non-coding RNA from Cyprinus carpio (common carp), 747 nucleotides. RefSeq lists it as uncharacterized. Lineage: Eukaryota; Metazoa; Chordata; Actinopteri; Cypriniformes; Cyprinidae. The transcript has 3 exons. The record is from RefSeq and is a predicted model, not a curated record.